CAUCUGGCCCAGACCCGCCGUGGUGUCGAUGUCGCAGCACUGGAACCGGGACACGCACACUGCAGGCGACAGGAAACGCAUCAGGACGACAUGAAACUCAGAGCCAGGAUCAGGAGAGACUGAUGGCUGAGUGGUGCUGAGAGGCCCGCGGGCCGGGAGGAUGAUGGAGUCGGAGCUGACAGGAAGGACGCUCAGAGAGUGAGAGGAUGAGGCUGGAAAACCCGACAAGGCGACGCGCGAAGAAGAGAACGGACAUGAGAUCAGGAGCGACAGCUGCUGGAGGACGGAGCCCUGAGGGACGCCGCCCUGAUCGUCCUCCAUCAUCAGAGCAGCAGAACCUUCUCUGGUGUCGGAUCAGAACCAGAACACGUCCCGCCUCUCUCUCUGCUGGGUCGCGUGGUUCCAUCGAUCGGAUCCAGAGUCAACACCGUUAAUUCAUUCUGUCAAUAAAGAUGUUUGUGGGUAAAUAACCGUCCACUUGGCUGUUUGGUUCUGACCCGAUUCUACAGACCCAACAGCACCAGGACAAACCUGGGUUCAUUCAGCACGAAACACAUCAGAACCAGAACCGAACAGAAAAAUGUCAGACCUCAGUUGAGGUCAAAGGUCAUGAUCAAACCAUCAGAAAAACUCCAUGAACCAGAACCACUGCUGACUCGAAGAACACAAAGACGGGCCUUCAUGAAGAAUCUGAGCCCAGUUUCAACUAACAGAACACAAUGAAACAUGGUGGUGGCAGCAUGAUGCUGUGGGACU
Long non-coding RNA from Poecilia latipinna (sailfin molly), 756 nucleotides. RefSeq lists it as uncharacterized. The record is from RefSeq and is a predicted model, not a curated record. Lineage: Eukaryota; Metazoa; Chordata; Actinopteri; Cyprinodontiformes; Poeciliidae. The transcript has 3 exons.